UUUUUAAUUGGGAUCUUGUAUGAAUGAUUGGACAAGAGAAAUACUGUCUUUGUAUUAAAACUUGAAUUUAACUUUUAAGUGAAAAGGCUUAAAUAUACUAAAGGGACGAUAAGACCCUAUAAAACUUUACAUUUAUGUUAAAUUUUAUGGAAUUUGAAGAUUAUAAUUAUUAAAUUUAAUUUUUUGUUAUGUUGGGGAGACAAAAGCUAUAAUUAUAUAUAACUGCUUUUAAGGGAAACAAGAAUAAGUGAGGAAGAUUGGAGAUCCUUUAUUGAGAUUAUAAGAUUAAGUUACUUUAGGGAUAACAGCGUUAUUUUUUUUGAGAGUUCAUAUUGAAAAAAAAGAUUGCGACCUCGAUGUUGAAUUAAAAUAUCUUUAUAAUGCAGGUGUUAUAAAAGAAGGUCUGUUCGACCUUUAAUUUU
RNAcentral lists this ribosomal RNA (422 nucleotides) under Potamonautes sidneyi. RNAcentral's name for it is "partial large subunit ribosomal RNA". The stretch from base 301 to 422 matches the Rfam family "Bacterial large subunit ribosomal RNA", at positions 2473 to 2596 of the family's 2925-position model. The record is from RNAcentral. Lineage: Eukaryota; Metazoa; Arthropoda; Malacostraca; Decapoda; Potamonautidae.